GGGUAUCCAAGGGUCCCGUUGAAUGCGACACAGAUCACUCGCAGUCUGGAGGCAUAUAUACUGUGGCUUCUCGGCAAGGUGAUGUUCACAGAGACAUGCCUACCUUCGGUCUGAGUUGGACACGUCGUAGGAGACGCUUUGCUGCUGAUCAUACCAUACGAGCCUACACGGCAUUAAACGAGCAGUUUGAUGCGUACACUGGGGUGAUCUGGCAGCCAUACACGCAAGAAGCCAUAGAUGCAAGAUACCCCGACGGUUUGUCCAUGCUGUGCACAAGAGAUGCCGAUUAUUGGAUGAUGAAAUUGAAGAUCUUCUUCGAUGUCUUCAUCGAGGAGAUGGCCCAAUAGAGGGUUAUGAGGCAAUUCGGUCUUCUACAAUUGGAGGCUCCUCCCCCUAUGGAGGCCCCGCUGCACAGAAACAUCCACAGGAUCAGAAAGAAGGGGAUUAAUAGGACUGCUACUGAGUGGCUAGACAGGGUUCAGCCGUACGUUACACAAUGGGAGACCGCGAGCACACAUCUGUGGCACGAGAAUGACAACUUUGAUAUGGACGAAUUCAAUCUCUAUCUGCAGCGGUACAUGACCGGAACAUGGUUAUGCAUCGUUCAUCACAAACACCUAGAUGAGAUACCUGCCCCUAAUACAACGGAUAUGUAACCGAGCUAUGAUACUUCGGGCUGUAGGCAGCAAGCGGCUGAGUUGACUCGCGGAGUUGGCGAGGAGGUGUCCAGCUUUCAGCGUUCACUGUCGUCUGCACCUCUAAUGCUUCCUCGGGCUCAGGUCCAGUCUUGGAUGUCGCGCAUUGACGAGAAAGUACAAUCUAUGUAUCGGGCUAUUACGUGCACACGCACUUCGGACGUACUUCACCAACAUCCCCCCGCCACUCCACGCACCAGCAGCCGCCGCGUCACUCGACUGGUCAGCUCGAACCCACGCAUCACCGACAUGAUCUGCGUCCACGUCUAGCAGGGCAGUGGACGACCAGGCCACCCCCUCCUGACCAGGCCGGUAGUUCGGCGUGGCAGCACCAGCCGGAUCCCACGUCUGCCUACGUGUUUCGGCCACGACCUCCGCCUGCAGGGUCCUACGGAUAUCAGGCGUAUGGACAUGACGCGUCUAUGUCCGGAUCCGGGUGGGAUAGUGACCAUGAAGGUGGGCAUAACAGACAAGAUUUCUUGUCGUAGCACAAUGAGUGGAUGGACAUAUAUACGACUCCUGCACCACCUCCCACACAGGAAACACAACAUGACCAGGCAUGGUCUGACCUUCCUCCCCGUAAUGUUCGGCCACCCCACAGGUAUCUGUGGCCGCCGCCGCCUACACCACCUCCACGACGUGCCAGACGACAUGGCUGAUGCUUGUCUACCACUAUAUCUAUCUAUGUACGCGAGGGACAUAUGCUACCUAUGUAUGCAACAGACAUAUCUAUCUAUGUAUGCGAGAGACAUAUUAUACCUAUGUAUGUGAGACACAUAUUUC
Triticum dicoccoides is the source of this 1478-nucleotide long non-coding RNA. RefSeq lists it as uncharacterized. Lineage: Eukaryota; Viridiplantae; Streptophyta; Magnoliopsida; Poales; Poaceae. The transcript is spliced from 5 exons. The record is from RefSeq and is a predicted model, not a curated record.